This is a long non-coding RNA of Camelus dromedarius (Arabian camel), 2113 nucleotides long. RefSeq lists it as uncharacterized. NCBI's taxonomy places the organism in Eukaryota, Metazoa, Chordata, Mammalia, Artiodactyla, Camelidae. The transcript is spliced from 2 exons. The record is from RefSeq and is a predicted model, not a curated record.
AUCGGACGAGGACGGCCGGAAGUGGUCUCGAUUCCCUCCUACAGCAGUAGAGGCUGAGGAGAAAGUGGGGGGCACUCUACUUAAAGGGGAGCCCAGGAUCACGAUGGAGAAGCAAAGUCCCAGCAGGGUCAGUGGGUUGCUGCCCUAGUUUCCCUUUCCCGGGCUGAGUCGCCUUUUCCCCAGGGCUGGCUCUGCACCCAUCACCAUCUCAUUAGAAACCCUGCCUUCCCACUGUAAGCGUCCAGUUGCCCGCUGUCUCCUAGUCUGAGGUGUGGCCUUGCUCUUGUCCCAGAGGGGAUGCUCGGUUCUCCUGGUGGCUCUUGGGACACCUUCUGAACCCAGCUCCUUUUAGGACCCAGGGGAAGUCAUUUACCCUACGCCUAUUCCCUGCGUUAAGUUCCUGGUUUCUGAGGUGGUUAAGAGCCGUAACAGGAGAGGUGGCAGUGUGACCUGUGCCCAGUACCGAAGUCCCAGAAGUCCCUUUGCCUUCAUCUCAGUUUCCUCCCAGAUUGGACUACUAUGAAGCAAAAUCCGUGCUGUUUCUUCUGUGGGUACAAAACACAGGAUCCAGACCGGUAGGGCAUCCUGCUAAAGGGGGCCUGAAAUACCACCUACCAACACCACUGGUUCAUCCUCUGGGGAAACCUCUUUACCUGGAACACCAGGCAGACCACAUGCCCCUGAGCCUCAUCCUGUUAGAGAACUACCAAGUGGAGCCACACCUUGGGGCCACAGAACCCCUAUGCCUUUACCAUCCUGACACCAGGGGUAGAAGGUGGGCAGGCCUACAAGCUGGCAGCAGAAAACCAGGAGCUGGAAGCCUGGCUGUGGGCACUGGCUAGGGCAAGCUGGAGGUGGCUGGCUGUGCUGCUACGCCCCCUGGAGGCCCAGUACCGGGAGCUGUACCAGGGAGCUGGCCAAGAUCACCCCCAGAGGACUGUGACUUCCCAGCCACCUUCAGUCCCCUCUCCAGCUUCCAGGAGUUGCAUGAGCACUUUGGGAAGGAGAUCCAGGUGCUGCAGGCAGUGCAAAGAGGGCUCCAAGAGGCCAGUGACAAUGGAGGCAGCAGAUCCCAGGCAGAGGUGGAGCUCAAUCAUUACCUGUUGAUAAGUGACUGAGAGAUGGAUCAAAGGCCAAAAGGUACCUACUGGCCAAGACCAGCUGACCGCUUCAACAGACACCCAGAUCCUGGCUGGCUCUAUCACUCCCUCCCUCCUAGUACUUACUCUAACCCCCUUCAUCAAAUAACAAGGCAGGAGACGGACCCAGGUACAACAGCAGGUUCUUUUCCGGUUCCUCAAAGCGCUGUACGGGGUGGGGGCAGAGACAGAAGAAAAUGUAAACACUGGGUUCCACCCCCUGGAGCUCAAGGGAAGACCCCUUACCCAGGUACGGGCUGGAGGGUUGGAAGGGAACAAGGUAAAAGGUGGGGGUUCUGGUGAGACAAAGCAGGGGAGGCCUGAGAAUACAGAGAAAGGUAGAUGAAGAGGAAGGAGAGCAAGGAGGGUGGUGGUGGGGAAGAGGGGGACAUUUCCUGUUCCAGUGCAUGUCCCCUUAAAUAAACUAGAGUGCAAGAACAUUGUGGAGGGAGAACCAAAGGACAGAAGAUAGAGUGAACACCCCCACCCUGGGCUGACCAGGUCUUCUGUACAUAAUUACAACACAGAGAUGUCCAGAAGUAGAGCAAGAAGAGUCUUGGCCCCCAGCCAGGAAGUGGGGGAGAUAGGCAAGACUCAAGAAGGGAAAAAGGAACCCAGCUCCACUUCAUGGGUAAGGGGAGUGACUGGAGUGUAAGAAUCUGAAAACCGCUGACUCCCAUCGCCAAGAGUCACCCCUGUGGUGACAAAAGGCCAGUCAGGACAGCACCUGGGAAGGGACCCCAGAAGGAAUUGGGGCAGAAGUGACAGAGACCCCAGCUGGGCUUAACUAGAGGUGAGGGGCUCCAGAUUUGCUCACUGCUGCCCCAGGGAAAUGCAGCUGCCCUGUGUACUCUGACUGUCCUGGCUGUGUAGGGAUCAGCAGCUGGCAAGGAAAUGGGGAAUCAAGCCACUUUCCUCAGAAAGAGGGACACCUGCCAAGGGGGUUGGGAGCAACACCCCAGGCCAGGCCUGCU